UUGGAGGGCAAGUCUGGUGCCAGCAGCCGCGGUAAUUCCAGCUCCAAUAGCGUAUAUUAAAGUUGUUGCAGUUAAAAAGCUCGUAGUUGAAUUUCGGGAUCUAUCCAUUGGUCGGGCCUCACGGUCCGUACUGGUGUUAUGGAUUCCUACCUUCUGAAUAACCGGGAUGUCAUUAAUUUGGUGUGCCGGGGAAGCAGGACUGUUACCUUGAAAAAAUUAGAGUGCUUAAAGCAGGCUUUUGCCUGAAUACAUUAGCAUGGAAUAAUGAAAUAGGACGCAUGAUUCUAUUUUGUUGGUUUCUAGGAUCACCGUAAUGAUUAAUAGGGAUAGUUGGGGGCAUUAGUAUUCAAUUGUCAGAGGUGAAAUUCUUGGAUUUAUUGAAGACUAACUUCUGCGAAAGCAUUUGCCAAGGAUGUUUUCAUUAAUCAAGAACGAAAGUUAGGGGAUCGAAGACGAUCAGAUACCGUCGUAGUCUUAACCAUAAACUAUGCCGACUAGGGAUCGGACGAUGUUAAUUUUUUAAUGACUCGUUCGGCGCCUUACGGGAAAC
Molecule: ribosomal RNA, 550 nt
Filed under: uncultured Acaulospora
Lineage: Eukaryota; Fungi; Glomeromycota; Glomeromycetes; Diversisporales; Acaulosporaceae
Also listed under: 1 other name
Description: SSU rRNA
Rfam family: Eukaryotic small subunit ribosomal RNA
Source: RNAcentral